CAUGGUGCAACCCCAUCUCUACUAAAAAUACAAAAGAAGUAGCCGGGCGAGGUGGUGCGCACCUGUAAUCCCAGUUACUCAGAAGCUGAGGCAGGAGAAUCGCUUGAACCCAGGAGGCGGAAGUUGCAGUUAGCCGAGAUUGUGCCACAGCACUCCAGCCUGGGCGACAGAGCAAGAUACCGUCUCAAAAAAAAAAAAAAAAAUCUCUGUUAUGUCAAUUUAAUUUGCAAUCCAAGUAAAGAACCUAGAAGGGUAGAGGGAAGCCAUUUUUCCCUCCCCUACAUUGCUAGUUCCAUGCCAAUGUGAGAGGACUCUGAGAAUGUGGAUGUCUGCCACCUGGAGAAAGAGUCUUAAUAACCUGGGCACUUGGCCAGGCACGGUGGCUCACACCUGUCAUCCCAGCAUUUUCAGAGGCAAAGGUGGGUGGAUCACCUGUGGUUAGGAGUUCAAGACCAGCCUGGCCAACAUGGCGAAACCCUGUCUCUACUAAAAAUACAAAAAUUAGCCAGGCAGGGUGGUGGGCACCUGUAAUUUCAGCUACUCAGGAGGCUGAGGCAGGAGAAUCACUUGAACCCAGGAGGCGGAGGUUGCAGUUAGCCUAGAUGGUGCCAUUGCACCCCAGCCUGGGCAACAAGAGCAAAAUUCUAUCUCAAUAGAUAAAUAAAUAAAUAACCUGGGGACUUGUAGCCUCUAUUGAAAGGUACCAGAAAAGGAUAAAGCCUGAGUUUUCAAGCCAGGAAGUUGCAAAUUCUAACUCUACCAAGAAGUAGCUGGGUGACCUCCAAGCCUCAGUUUCCUCAUCUUCAAAACCAGGUUAAUAGUGUCAGAGGCAUUUGAACCAGAGAGACUCCAUCUUGAAUAGGGACUGGGUAAAAUAAGGCUGUGACCUGCUGGGCUGUAUUCCCAGGAAGUUAAGGCAUUCUUCGAGGAUGAGAUGGUGGGGGUCAGCACAAGAUACAGGUCACAAAGACCUUGCUGGUAAAAUAGGAUGUAGUAAAGGAGCCGGCCAAAACCCAUCAAAAUCAAGAUGGCGACCAAAGUGAGCUCUGGUCGUGCCCACUGCUCAUUAUACACUAAUUAUAAUUCAUUAGCAUGCUAAAAGACACUCCCACCAGCACCAGGACAGUUUACAAACAUCAGGAAGUUACCCUAUAUGGUCUAAAGGAGGAGGAACCCUCAGUUCUGGGAAUUGCCCAUCCCUUUCGCGGAAAACUCAUGAAUAAUCCACCCCUUGUUUAGCAUAUAAUCAAGAAAUAACUAUAAUUAGUUGAGCAGCCCAUGCUGCAGCUCUGCCUAUGGAGUAGCCAUUCUUUACCUCCUUUACUUCUCUAAUAAAUUUGAUUUCACUUUAUGGACUUGCCCCAAAUUCUUUCUUGCGUGAGGUUCAAGAACCCUCUCUUGUGGACUGGAUGAGGACCCCACUCUGGUAACAAUAUACUUUUUGUCCAGUCACAUUUCUACAUGGCUGUCCAUACUCUGUUGAAUGUAAGCAUAAGAAUGGACAAUUUUGCUGUAUCUUUGGAUCUUCAUUCUGAAGGCUCCCAUGGCAUGUAAAACUAUGAUCAAAUAAAU
This 1572-nucleotide long non-coding RNA is filed under the name Homo sapiens (human). RNAcentral's name for it is "non-protein coding lnc-SPZ1-1:1". Lineage: Eukaryota; Metazoa; Chordata; Mammalia; Primates; Hominidae. The record is from RNAcentral.